RNAcentral lists this ribosomal RNA (494 nucleotides) under uncultured bacterium. RNAcentral's name for it is "partial 16S ribosomal RNA". It matches the Rfam family "Bacterial small subunit ribosomal RNA", at positions 28 to 507 of the family's 1533-position model. The record is from RNAcentral.
GACGAACGCUGGCGGCGUGCUUAACACAUGCAAGUCGAACGGUGAAGCGCCUUCCUUUUUGGUGGGUGUGGAUGAGUGGCGAACGGGUGAGUAACACGUGAGUAACCUGCCCCCUUCUUCUGGAUAACCGCAUGAAAGUGUGGCUAAUACGGGAUAUUCUGGGUCUGUCGCAUGAUGGGUCUGGGAAAGAUAUUGUUUCGGUGGGGGAUGGGCUCGCGGCCUAUCAGCUUGUUGGUUGGGUGAUGGCCUACCAAGGCGGUGACGGGUAGCCGGCCUGAGAGGGUGGGCGGUCCCACUGGGACGGAGACACGGACCAGACUCGUACGGGAGGCAGCAGGGGGGAAUAUGGCACAAUGGGGGAAAGCCUGAUGCAGCGAGGCAGCGUGAGGGAUGGAGGCCUUCGGGUUGUGAACCUCUUUCGCCAGUGAAGCAGGCCUGCCUCGUUUGUGGGUGGGUUGACGGUAGCUGGAGAAGAAGCGCCGGCUAACUACGUG